Molecule: ribosomal RNA, 904 nt
Filed under: uncultured Campylobacterota bacterium
Lineage: Bacteria; Pseudomonadati; Campylobacterota
Description: bacterial SSU rRNA
Rfam family: Bacterial small subunit ribosomal RNA
Source: RNAcentral
AGAGUUUGAUCAUGGCUCAGAGUGAACGCUGGCGGCGUGCUUAACACAUGCAAGUCGAACGAGAACGGAUAUUAGCUUGCUAAUAUUGUCAGCUAAGUGGCGCACGGGUGAGUAAUAUAUAGUUAAUCUGCCUUAGAGAUGGGAAUAAUUGAUGGAAACGUCUUGUAAGACCCGAUAUGCCUUUAAUACAUAAGUAUGCAAGGGAAACAUUUAUGGCUCUAAGAUGAGACUGUACGGUAUCAGAUAGUUGGUGAGGUAAUGGCUCACCGAGUCUAUGACGCCUAACUGGUUUGAGAGGAUGAUCAGUCACACUGGAACUGAGACACGGUCCAGACUCCUACGGGAGGCAGCAGUGGGAAUAUUGCACAAUGGACGAAAGUCUGAUGCAGCAACGCCGCGUGGAGGAUGACACAUUUCGGUGCGUAAACUCCUUUUAUAUGAGAAGAUAAUGACGGUAUCAUAUGAAUAAGCACCGGCUAACUUCGUGCCAGCAGCCGCGGUAAUACGAGGGGUGCAAGCGUUACUCGGAAUCACUGGGCGUAAAGAGAAUGUAGGCGGUUAAUUAAGUUGGAAGUGAAAUCCUAUGGCUCAACCAUAGAACUGCUUCCAAAACUGAUUAACUAGAGUAUGGGAGAGGUAGAUGGAAUUUCUGGUGUAGGGGUAAAAUCCGUAGAGAUCAGAAGGAAUACCGAUUGCGAAGGCGAUCUACUGGAACAUUACUGACGCUCAGAUUCGAAAGCGUGGGGAGCAAACAGGAUUAGAUACCCUGGUAGUCCACGCCCUAAACGAUGCACACUAGUUGUUGCUAUACUAGAUAUAGCAGUAAUGCAGUUAACACAUUAGGUGUGCCGCCUGGGGGAGUACGGUCGCAAGAUUAAAACUCAAAGGAAUAGACGGGGACCCG